UUAAUUCGAUGCAACGCGAAAACCUUACCUACCCUUGACAUGUCCGGAAUCCCGAAGAGAUUUGGGGUGCUCGCAAGAGAGCCGGAACACAGGUGCUGCAUGGCUGUCGUCAGCUCGUGUCGUGAGAUGUUGGGUUAAGUCCCGCAACGAGCGCAACCCUUGUCAUUAGUUGCCAUCAUUUGGUUGGGCACUCUAAUGAGACUGCCGGUGACAAACCGGAGGAAGGUGGGGAUGACGUCAAGUCCUCAUGGCCCUUAUGGGUAGGGCUUCACACGUCAUACAAUGGUCGGUACAGAGGGUUGCCAACCCGCGAGGGGGAGCUAAUCCCACAAAGCCGAUCGUAGUCCGGAUCGCAGUCUGCAACUCGACUGCGUGAAGUCGGAAUCGCUAGUAAUCGUGGAUCAGCAUGUCACGGUGAAUACGUUCCCGGGUCUU
Molecule: ribosomal RNA, 435 nt
Filed under: uncultured Rhodocyclaceae bacterium
Lineage: Bacteria; Pseudomonadati; Pseudomonadota; Betaproteobacteria; Rhodocyclales; Rhodocyclaceae
Description: bacterial SSU rRNA
Rfam family: Bacterial small subunit ribosomal RNA
Source: RNAcentral